RNAcentral lists this ribosomal RNA (253 nucleotides) under uncultured bacterium. Its description in RNAcentral is "partial 16S ribosomal RNA". It matches the Rfam family "Bacterial small subunit ribosomal RNA", at positions 524 to 776 of the family's 1533-position model. The record is from RNAcentral.
UACAUGGGGUGCAAACGUUGCUCGGAAUUAUUGGGCGUAAAGCGCGCGUAGGCGGUUACUUAAGUCGGAUGUGAAAGCCCUCGGCUUAACUGAGGAAGUGCAUCCGAAACUGAGUAGCUAGAGUACGAAAGAGGGUCGCGGAAUUCCCGGUGUAGAGGUGAAAUUCGUAGAUAUCGGGAGGAACACCGGUGGCGAAGGCGGCGACCUGGGUCGAGACUGACGCUGAGGAGCGAAAGCGUGGGGAGCGAAUGGG